UUGGGAGUUUCUGUAUUGUACGUUGAAGUUAAGUUAAUUCCUCGAGCUCGAUUGAUUUUUUUAGGGAGCUGUCACUGUUAGUUAUGGAGACUAAUAAAUGGUGCCCACCUUAGCUUAAGUCUCAGGAUAUUCAGAGCAUAGACGGCAAUGGCGGUUUCUCCC
RNAcentral lists this unclassified non-coding RNA (162 nucleotides) under Ehrlichia chaffeensis str. Arkansas. Its description in RNAcentral is "6S RNA sequence". The record is from RNAcentral. Lineage: Bacteria; Pseudomonadati; Pseudomonadota; Alphaproteobacteria; Rickettsiales; Anaplasmataceae.